This 465-nucleotide ribosomal RNA is filed under the name uncultured bacterium. RNAcentral describes it as "partial 16S ribosomal RNA". It matches the Rfam family "Bacterial small subunit ribosomal RNA", at positions 28 to 507 of the family's 1533-position model. The record is from RNAcentral.
GACGAACGCUGGCGGCGUGCUUAACACUUGCAAGUCGAACGGAAAGGCCCUGCUUGCAGGGUACUCGAGUGGCGAACGGGUGAGUAACACGUGGGUGAUCUGCCCUGCACUUCGGGAUAAGCCUGGGAAACUGGGUCUAAUACCGGAUAGGAGCCAUUUUUAGUGUGAUGGUUGGAAAGUUUUUUCGGUGUAGGAUGAGCUCGCGGCCUAUCAGCUUGUUGGUGGGGUAAUGGCCUACCAAGGCGGCGACGGGUAGCCGGCCUGAGAGGGUGGACGGCCACAUUGGGACUGAGAUACGGCCCAGACUCCUACGGGAGGCAGCAGUGGGGAAUAUUGCACAAUGGGCGCAAGCCUGAUGCAGCGACGCCGCGUGGGGGAUGACGGCCUUCGGGUUGUAAACUCCUUUCGCUAGGGACGAAGCUUUUUGUGACGGUACCUAGAUAAGAAGCACCGGCUAACUACGUG